RNAcentral lists this long non-coding RNA (1790 nucleotides) under Homo sapiens (human). Its description in RNAcentral is "HSALNT0309520". The record is from RNAcentral. Lineage: Eukaryota; Metazoa; Chordata; Mammalia; Primates; Hominidae.
GUCACACUCAGGGAGAGCAUGGAAGCUCCGCACCCCUUCCCCUAUACCUCGCCUAUCCAUCUCUUCAUCUGUAUCCUUUGUAACAUCCUUUAUGGUAAACCUAAGGGUUUCCCCGAGUUCUGCGAGCCACCCUAGCAAAUUAAUAAAGAGGGGGUCUUUAUCAAUUUAUAGCUGGUUGUCAGAAGUUCCCGAGGCCUGUACUAGUGAGUGAUGUCUGAAGGUCAGGGGUGGUCUUGGGGGACUAAGCCCCCAACCCCUGGGAUCUGACGCUGUCUCCAGGUAGAGAGUGUCAGAACUUAACUGGAGGACCCCCAGUUCAUGCCGGUGUCCAUGUCUGGGCAGUUUGCUCGGUGGUGGGGAGAAAUCCCCACACAUUUGGUCGUAGAAGCCUUCUGUGUUGAUUGUUGUGGCGCGGCGUGAGAACAGAAGAACUGUUGGAGUUUUUUCACCCUCAGAGAGUGUUCUCACUUCUGGCUCCACUUCCUCCCAAGGUGUCUGGGGCACGAGUUCUGCCGGAUGGCAGCGUAACUGGCUUUGGUGUUGAUUUAUGAGUCACCACUGGGGUGAGAUGAGGGAGGCAGACUCAAGUACGUGAUUACAGGGCACCAAGAGACCACCUGCCCAACAGAUCUUCACUCAUUGCCUUACCAAACCUGAAAUUACCUUAGCAAAAGCAAGUAAAUGUGGCCACUCUAGGGCCCCGACCUGGAUUCCUAGCCAGACCAGCCACUGGUGCUCUCUAUCUGAUGCAGCCAGGUUGGUCUCUCUCAACCUCCCCAAACAUGCCCAUGCCUUCCUGCUCCUCUCUACCUGGGCAUGGGCUAUGCCCACCUCCAGGAGGUCCACCAUGAAGGCGUGAGCCCAGUAAUAUGGAAAUGUCUGUUAUCAGGGCCUUUAGGGUAUCCUGUGAUGGUGGGAAGGGGAUGCUAGCACGGGGCCAGGAACAGCAGGAGGUUUGAGGCUGCAUUGGAGAAGGACAGAGCUGGGCUCUUGAAUCCUAAGGCUUUCAUCUCAGGCAUGAAUCUGGUGACAUCAGGACAUUCUCCAGAGCCCAUUGGUACAGGCAGAUUAGGGCAGGUUUGAGAGAUUCUAGAAUCAGGUAGAUAGUACAUUUUGGCAUGUCUAGAUAAUUGAGCUUAGAAAUCAAGCAAUCCAGCCCCUCACUUUACAGUUAAGGAAAUGGAGGUUCAGAGAGAUUCUGAGCUCUUCCCCAUCUUACAUCUGGAAGAGGCCAGGCCAGGGCUCAGAUCCAGGGCCUUUCAUGAAGCAGCCAGGGCCACAUGCCUGGAUCACAGCUGGAAAGCUAUGCCCUAGCAGGGCUGCUGUUUGCAGCUGUUCAGGCCUUGCCUUGCUUUUUAUAGACUGAAGUAUGAGCAACACUGCCUGGGGGUGAGCAGUGCACACACUGCACCACUGUCCGGGGAGGCUCUGAGUCAGAGUCAAAGCAAAGGCCUGAGAGCUCCCAUCAGAGAGGUCCCAUCUCUUGGGCUGGGCUGGGUAUGUGGUGAAAAUGGAGGCAGGAGGGUGACUCGGAACCUGGACAGCAGUGAUGGGUCCCCAUCCAUGGACACUGGAAUUUAGGGUGGAAGACUGGCAUUUGGAAAGGCAGGCUGACUUCGCUGGACUGACAGCUGGACAGAGAGCUGGCUCGGCCUUCCUUGGUGUGGGAACUGCCUGGGAGACUCAGCAUAAAGGAGCAGAGGUGGAUCGCUCCUGCAGGCAUGUGGUUCCCAAAACAGAAAAGGGGACAGUUGCACAUCGCUGAGGAGGCCUCACAAUCAUGGUGGAAG